Molecule: long non-coding RNA, 673 nt
Organism: Eucalyptus grandis
Lineage: Eukaryota; Viridiplantae; Streptophyta; Magnoliopsida; Myrtales; Myrtaceae
Exons: 2
Source: RefSeq, a predicted model, not a curated record
AAUUUCGAUGGAAUAACUCCUUUAUCUUUUCUUUAUUUGACAUUUUUCAAUCAUGGUUUGGGUCAACACAAGGUCGCGGAAAGUAUAUUGCCUUUCAACCUUUAGAAAUAUAUUAAGUAAUUGAAAAAAAAGAAAAAGAAAGGAAUAUCGAUUAUUUUCUUCGCUAGUGCAAUCACGUGAAACAUAAUAUCCCCCCACCAUCAUCUCCAGAUUUCCCCAUCCCUGUCCAUCAAAUUCCUCGUUGAAGAAGCAGAAGAAGAAGCGUCAUACCUCAACAGCAUCCACAGAGAAAGAGAGAGAGAGAUGGAGCCACCUCCGACCCAGAACAUUAGCAAGAAUUACUCAGUGACAGAGGACGGACAGGACAAAGCCAUCAACGAGUGUUGCUCCUGCUGCUUUGACUGUUCGGACAGCUGCCUCGAUUACAUCUUCUGCAACCUUUGCUAGCGGGCUCGAGGCGACUGAUAUGGAAGACUUACCAUUCGUUCUGAUCUACGGUUUCUCUAAAUUAGCAAAAGAAUUGUAGAACUCGCUGAGAGAGAAAUGUGUUGCUAGUUAUUGGGUUCCCUCUCUCUGAACUGUUCUGUGAUGUUUGUGCAGCACUGGAUUUCAGUUAGAGAUUAAAUUUUUUUCCUGGCUUGUUAUCUGAUGCAAGAAAAUCUCUGUUCUGUGA